This 552-nucleotide ribosomal RNA is filed under the name Fusarium incarnatum. RNAcentral's name for it is "partial large subunit ribosomal RNA". It matches the Rfam family "Eukaryotic large subunit ribosomal RNA", at positions 98 to 664 of the family's 3401-position model. Lineage: Eukaryota; Fungi; Ascomycota; Sordariomycetes; Hypocreales; Nectriaceae. The record is from RNAcentral.
GCGGCAACAGCUCAAAUUUGAAAUCUGGCUCUCGGGCCCGAGUUGUAAUUUGUAGAGGAUGCUUUUGAUGCGGUGCCUUCCGAGUUCCCUGGAACGGGACGCCAUAGAGGGUGAGAGCCCCGUCUGGUUGGAUGCCAAAUCUCUGUAAAGCUCCUUCGACGAGUCGAGUAGUUUGGGAAUGCUGCUCUAAAUGGGAGGUAUAUGUCUUCUAAAGCUAAAUACCGGCCAGAGACCGAUAGCGCACAAGUAGAGUGAUCGAAAGAUGAAAAGCACUUUGAAAAGAGAGUUAAAAAGUACGUGAAAUUGUUGAAAGGGAAGCGUUUAUGACCAGACUUGGGCUUGGUUAAUCAUCUGGGGUUCUCCCCAGUGCACUUUUCCAGUCCAGGCCAGCAUCAGUUUUCGCCGGGGGAUAAAGGCUUCGGGAAUGUGGCUCUCUCCGGGGAGUGUUAUAGCCCGUUGCGUAAUACCCUGGCGGGGACUGAGGUUCGCGCAUCUGCAAGGAUGCUGGCGUAAUGGUCAUCAACGACCCGUCUUGAANNNNNNGGAACNAAA